GACGAACGCUGGCGGCGUGCUUAACACAUGCAAGUCGAACGGAAAGGCCCUGCUUUUGUGGGGUGCUCGAGUGGCGAACGGGUGAGUAACACGUGAGUAACCUGCCCUUGACUUUGGGAUAACUUCAGGAAACUGGGGCUAAUACCGGAUAGGAGCUCCUGCUGCAUGGUGGGGGUUGGAAAGUUUCGGCGGUUGGGGAUGGACUCGCGGCUUAUCAGCUUGUUGGUGGGGUAGUGGCUUACCAAGGCUUUGACGGGUAGCAGGCCUGAGAGGGUGACCGGCCACAUUGGGACGGAGAUACGGCCCAGACUACAACGGGAGGCAGCAGUGGGGAAGAUUGCACAAUGGGCGGAAGCCUGAUGCAGCAACGCCGCGUGCGGGAUGACGGCCUUCGGGUUGUAAACCGCUUUCGCCUGUGACGAAGCGUGAGUGACGGUAAUGGGUAAAGAAGCACCGGCUAACUACGUG
RNAcentral lists this ribosomal RNA (468 nucleotides) under uncultured bacterium. RNAcentral describes it as "partial 16S ribosomal RNA". It matches the Rfam family "Bacterial small subunit ribosomal RNA", at positions 28 to 507 of the family's 1533-position model. The record is from RNAcentral.